CUUGACCAAGCCAAUUUCUGGCCCUAUGGAAAAUCUUACUUCUUCAACUCCCCUACUGGAAGAUUUUCUGACGGUCGUUUGAUUUCUGAUCGAUUUCAUUGGUAACCAUGUAUUUGUUUCCAUCAUUCUUUUGGUGUUUCAUAGUCAUAAAUGUAUUUUUCCUAUCUAGCUAGACAUUCAACUUUAUAUUAGUACAUAUUUUAACUAACAUCACUUAGACGUACACUUGUUAAUUACUGACAGCUGAUUAUGCAAAGGUUCCAAUACCAGCGGCCAUUAUGCAGCCAAGGAAUGAAGAGGAACAUUACAUUAAUGGAG
This 318-nucleotide long non-coding RNA is filed under the name Solanum tuberosum (potato). RNAcentral describes it as "long non-coding RNA (STUB_LNC004257)". The record is from RNAcentral. Lineage: Eukaryota; Viridiplantae; Streptophyta; Magnoliopsida; Solanales; Solanaceae.